AAGAGCAUAGAAGAACCAGAAGUAGAGGAGGAAAAACAGAAGUAGAAAUGGAGUAUAGUGAAAUUACAGGCUGAACUUGACCAAGAAUACCAAGACAAAUUCAAAAGACUCCCGUUGGAAAUCCUGGAAUUUGUCCAGGAAGCCAUGAAAGGCAAGAUUAGCGAAGACGGAGACCGCAGCCCCACCCCUCCUCCUUUGGCAUCUGGUGGCGGGAAGCAGCAGAACUAUAAGCCACCGCAAAACGAAGAGCUGGAAGACCAUCCAGGGAAAGAAUUUGACACCCCCCUCUAACGGCUCCCGCCAGGCCACGGGCCUGAAUGACUGUGACACAGCAGAUCACCACGCCGUCCCCCGGACCCUGUCCUCGUUUGAGUGGCCACCGGGCAGCCUCCGCCAUGGCAGACGUCCGUAGGGACAAGGGUGUGUUCAUAAGAGCAGCCAGUGGGCUGGGCGUGUUCUAUGUCUGUAGGCCUUUGUCAUAUCAGCAUGCUAAACUGCAGCGCAUUCGAAAUGCGGGCGUUGACCAGCGUGGCCCUUCCCCAAGCCGAUGGGCCACUGGCAUUUUUUCAAGCUGUGUGUCGCCCCGCUGGACCGGUCCCUGAGGACCAGCAUUAUUAUUAUUUUAAGGUAAAUGUGCACAGACCCUAACCCUGUGUGAAGCCACAGUGCCAAGUGUUCUAAACAAAUUGUCACCCUUUGGGCCUUUGUUUCCUCCUCUGUAACUGCAUUUUAAAGCUUGUACCAUCUUAAUAUUUGCACCUAGUUUUAUUUUCCUUUGCAAAACGCCACCAGCAGCUUGUGGCGUUGACCGUAUAUAAGAAGUAUCUGGUCCUCAGACCUUCCAUGGAAACUCUGGUAGUGUGCAUACGUUUCUAAGAAGAAAUAUAGAUAUUUCCCCCUAGAAGCAUACGGGUGUUUGUAUAUGCUUCAUAUGUUGUGGAGUCACAUAUAUGUGCAUAGACACACACACACACCCAUGUAUGCACCCCAUGGUAUGCACAGGACCCAUGUGUUCCUGCUGGGAACCUGCUCUCCUAAAGAUCUGAAGAAACAUCAGGAAUAAAGAAACUUCGCUUUUCUGGCUCGGUGAUCUCUGUUAUCACUGCUGUGUAGUUAGGGAAAUCACAAGAACCUUUGACUGAUAUUGUACAUUGGUUUUCAAAUAUCAAUUUGUGGACUCUGGAGUAUUGUUUUGAACUAUUAUCUUAUGGUUGCAAUCAUAUGUUUGAAUUCUGAAAAUGUUUUGUAUAGUAUCUAACACACAGACAUCUCUUCCAUAGUUUUAAAAACUGUACAGUUUGCAUGUGGGAAAUGCCGUCUCCAGAAUGUAUAUAUCAAACCAGUCUUUCCGAGGUGGAGCCCUUCGGGGAGGAGGGGCAGAAUUAGUCAGGCAGAAGAUGUAAGGAUACGGAGCAUGUGGACACGGGUGUUCUGGCCCUGGAACCUAUUUAUAGUUAACCUUGGGAAAGGUUACAGCCCCUCUGGACGCCCACAGAAACUACUUUGUGGGUAAUAUUGAAACACUAAAUUUUUAGUCGGAUGACUGCAAAGCCUUUUCAUACGUAACAGCAUAUAUGUAGUUGGCUUCCCCUCAGGAGCUCCGUAGAAAUAACUUACUUUUAUUUAAAUGUAA
Molecule: long non-coding RNA, 1633 nt
Organism: Gekko japonicus
Lineage: Eukaryota; Metazoa; Chordata; Lepidosauria; Squamata; Gekkonidae
Exons: 2
Source: RefSeq, a predicted model, not a curated record